GCUGCGGUGGUCUAGUGGUUAUGAUAGGGGCUUGUGGUGCCCUUGACCCGGGUUCGAUUUCCGGUCGCGGCCCCA
Molecule: transfer RNA, 75 nt
Filed under: Candidatus Iainarchaeum sp.
Lineage: Archaea; Nanobdellati; Candidatus Iainarchaeota; Candidatus Iainarchaeia; Candidatus Iainarchaeales; Candidatus Iainarchaeaceae
Description: tRNA-His
Rfam family: tRNA
About the family: Transfer RNA (tRNA) molecules are approximately 80 nucleotides in length. Their secondary structure includes four short double-helical elements and three loops (D, anti-codon, and T loops). Further hydrogen bonds mediate the characteristic L-shaped molecular structure. tRNAs have two regions of fundamental functional importance: the anti-codon, which is responsible for specific mRNA codon recognition, and the 3' end, to which the tRNAs corresponding amino acid is attached (by aminoacyl-tRNA synthetases). tRNAs cope with the degeneracy of the genetic code in two manners: having more than one tRNA (with a specific anti-codon) for a particular amino acid; and 'wobble' base-pairing, i.e. permitting non-standard base-pairing at the 3rd anti-codon position.
Source: RNAcentral